Molecule: long non-coding RNA, 847 nt
Organism: Lepidothrix coronata (blue-crowned manakin)
Lineage: Eukaryota; Metazoa; Chordata; Aves; Passeriformes; Pipridae
Exons: 3
Source: RefSeq, a predicted model, not a curated record
CGCCCCUCACAGCGCCCCGCCAUCGCCCUCGCACCGAGAGCCCACUGUCCUUCCCCUCACAGCGCCCCGCCAUCGCCCUCGCCCCCAGCGCCCACCGUCCUUCCCCUCACAGCGCCCCGCCAUCACCCUCGCACCCAGCGCCCACCGUCCUUCCCCUCACAGCGCCCCGCCAUCGCCCUCGCACCCAGCGCCCACCGUCCUUCCCCUCACAGCGCCCCGCCAUCGCCCUCGCACCCAGCGCCCACCGUCCGCCUCCCUCACAGCGCUCCGCCAUUGCCCUCAGAACCCACACCAUCUCCCCGCAUCUCCCACCCCUGGGAGAAAGUCAGGAAAUCAAUUGCAUUCGGGCUAUCUUGUAACUGUCAUGAAGAAAAAAAAAAUUAAGGCGCAACCACAGAGGUAGUACAUUUCUUAGACCAGUCCUUGAAAAUCUAUCGGGUUUCAGACAGGUAGGUUGAGUCUUCUUAGGGUUGAAAUGAGGUCUUACAUGGUCAAAAGUCUGAUCAAACUUUAAAUCUUUAUUACUGUAAUAAAAACUACAGCCCCUUUCACAAAUGUUGUAUGCUGAGACUGUUCCUCUAGAGGAAACUGCAACUCCCAUCCACACAGCACAGAGAAGCAGAUGCCGGUUAUUUCAGAAAAGCAGCAUGGGUGGCCACACUUGCUAAUUGAAAGAGUCCACUCAGACCUGAUGGAGCAGGCUGUGUCAAAGGAAGAAAAAUAGGACCUGGCCAUGUAAAAAGAAUGCCUGUUGCCGAAACAAGUAGAGCAGAAGUCCUCAUCCUUCUCUUUUUGCCUCUCUAUGGUUGUUUUCUCUUCAGCAGAAAUAAAGAUCCCUUUAAAUCAA